Molecule: ribosomal RNA, 464 nt
Filed under: uncultured Comamonadaceae bacterium
Lineage: Bacteria; Pseudomonadati; Pseudomonadota; Betaproteobacteria; Burkholderiales; Comamonadaceae
Description: partial 16S ribosomal RNA
Rfam family: Bacterial small subunit ribosomal RNA
Source: RNAcentral
CCUACGGGAGGCAGCAGUGGGGAAUUUUGGACAAUGGGCGCAAGCCUGAUCCAGCAAUGCCGCGUGCAGGAUGAAGGCCUUCGGGUUGUAAACUGCUUUUGUACGGAACGAAAAGGCUCUGGCUAAUACCUGGGGCUGAUGACGGUACCGUAAGAAUAAGCACCGGCUAACUACGUGCCAGCAGCCGCGGUAAUACGUAGGGUGCGAGCGUUAAUCGGAAUUACUGGGCGUAAAGCGUGCGCAGGCGGUUUUGUAAGACAGGUGUAAAAUCCCCGGGCUUAACCUGGGAACGGCAUUUGUGACUGCAGGGCUGGAGUACGGCAGAGGGGGAUGGAAUUCCGCGUGUAGCAGUAAAAUGCGUAGAUAUGCGGAGGAACACCGAUGGCGAAGGCGGUCCCCUGGGCCUGUACUGACGCUGAGGGGCGAAAGCUAGGGAAGCGAACGGGAUUAGAUCCCCCAGUAGU